GGGUUAAACGUUGGUCAUAGUCGAGGCUAUUGAGUUAUGAGUAUUUUGAUUCGAAUCGAAUUUAUGAUUAUAUUAUAUAUAAAUAUUUGAAAAAAUUUGAUUUAUAUUGAAUCAGCAUAAAAUAUAUUUUUAUAUUUAUUUACAGUAUUAUUUUUAAAAAUUAUAUAAUAUCUAAAAUAUCUAAUUGAGAUAUUUGUUACUUACUAGGCUGUCUAGCUUAUUAUCUUUCUUUUUAUUUUUCAGAUUCAGAUAAUUAAUUGCGAGUAUGGGUAAUAAUAUUGGGACAGAGUUUUUAGAGACGAGACUUAGCAUUAUCAACUUCAUUGAAAUUAGAUCUAUUAUUUUAUUUUUAGUAAAAUUUUAUUGGAUGUAAGAUAUUUGAUUUAAUUAUUUGAAUUAAAGUUGAAUAAAAAUUAUUUGAUUUUAUUUUGCUGUGAUGCAUUGAUAUUGUGAUG
Molecule: long non-coding RNA, 455 nt
Filed under: Elaeis guineensis (African oil palm)
Lineage: Eukaryota; Viridiplantae; Streptophyta; Magnoliopsida; Arecales; Arecaceae
Description: long non-coding RNA (EGUI_LNC070920)
Source: RNAcentral